This 397-nucleotide ribosomal RNA is filed under the name uncultured bacterium. RNAcentral's name for it is "partial 16S ribosomal RNA". It matches the Rfam family "Bacterial small subunit ribosomal RNA", at positions 523 to 918 of the family's 1533-position model. The record is from RNAcentral.
AUACGUAGGGGGCGAGCGUUGUCCGGAAUGAUUGGGCGUAAAGGGCGCGUAGGCGGCCCGGUAAGUCUGGAGUGAAAGUCCUGUUUUUAAGAUGGGAAUUGCUUUGGAUACUGUCGGGCUUGAGUGCAGGAGAGGUAAGUGGAAUUCCCAGUGUAGCGGUGAAAUGCGUAGAGAUUGGGAAGAACACCGGUGGCGAAGGCGCCUUUCUGGACUGUGUCUGACGCUCAGAUGCGAAAGCCAGGGUAGCGAACGGGAUUAGAUACCCCGGUAGUCCUGGCCGUAAACGAUGGGUACUAGGUGUGGGAGGUAUCGACUCCUUCCGUGCCGGAGUUAACGCAAUAAGUACCCCGCCUGGGGAGUACGAUCGCAAGAUUGAAACUCAAAGGAAUUGACGGGG